CAGCAGUAGCCGCGGUAAUACAGAGGUCUCAAGCGUUGUUCGGAUUCAUUGGGCGUAAAGGGAGCGUAGGCGGUCGGGUAAGUUGGAUGUGAAAUCCUGGGGCUCAACCUCAGAACUGCAUUCAAUACUGCUUGGCUAGAGUAUUGGAGAGGUGAGUGGAAUUCACGGUGUAGCAGUGAAAUGCGUAGAUAUCGUGAGGAAGACCAGCGGCGAAGGCGGCUCACUGGACAAUUACUGACGCUGAUGCUUGAAGGCUAGGGGAGCAAACGGGAUUAGAUACCCCCGUAGUCCCUGUCUCUUAUAC
RNAcentral lists this ribosomal RNA (304 nucleotides) under uncultured bacterium. Its description in RNAcentral is "partial 16S ribosomal RNA". It matches the Rfam family "Bacterial small subunit ribosomal RNA", at positions 506 to 807 of the family's 1533-position model. The record is from RNAcentral.